AUGCUAAAGGCCGCGGAGGUAGAAAUCAAGAAGGAGCAUCAAGUGUUGAUGGUUAACAAGACCACUAGUUUCAAGAAGAAGGGCAAAGGGAAGAAGGGGAACUUCAAGAAGAACGGCAAGCAAGUUGCUGCUCAAGUGAAGAAGCCCAAGUCUGGACCUAAGCCUGAGACUGAGGGCUUCUACUGCAAAGGGACUGGUCACUGGAAGCGGAACUGCCCCAAGUAUUUGGUGGAUAAGAAGGAUGGCAAAGUGAAAGGUAUAUUUGAUAUACAUGUUAUUGAUGUGUACCUUACUAAUGCUCGUAGUAGCGCCUGGGUAUUUGAUACUGGUUCUGUUGCUCAUAUUUGCAACUCGAAAAGGGGCUACGGAUUAAGCGAAGAUUGGCCAAGGACGAGGUGA
RNAcentral lists this ribosomal RNA (399 nucleotides) under Triticum aestivum (bread wheat). RNAcentral's name for it is "partial small subunit ribosomal RNA". Lineage: Eukaryota; Viridiplantae; Streptophyta; Magnoliopsida; Poales; Poaceae. The record is from RNAcentral.